Molecule: long non-coding RNA, 920 nt
Organism: Pelobates fuscus (common spadefoot toad)
Lineage: Eukaryota; Metazoa; Chordata; Amphibia; Anura; Pelobatidae
Exons: 4
Source: RefSeq, a predicted model, not a curated record
UUUACCCUCAUUAUAGUUAUUACCCAGUUAUAACGCAACCAUGAAUAGCAUUUUUUUUUCCCAAGUUGCAGUUCCAUCUGGCGACACUGGGAGCAGAGCUGAGAAUUUUCAGCUGCGUCACAGAACAGAGAGGAGAAACAGUCUGUGUCGACAGGUCUCUGAAAAUCAGCUGCAGCAACACACAGAGAAGAGAGAUCUGCGAAAGCCAGCAAGUAUGAUGGGCUGGGCACUGUCAUAUGCUGAGCAUCUUUGCACAAACUGAUACCCAGUUUCCAAAUUUCUCUGUUCGUGUCUGCGAGAUGCAGAGAAAACCUAACAUAUUAAUCCCGCAGGGGGAGGAGGUGAGACGUUGGUAGGUUGUGAUGGGGAGGGCGAACGAUGAGGUUCGGGAUGAUGAGUGUGGGUUUGUGAAGGGGUUAAUGGAAAUUCUGGAACCUUCUACCCGUACGUGGAUGUCACGCGGAUACCCAAACCUACGCAGCAAUAAUUGGGGGUGAGUGUUCUCAUAUUCUGAGUGCCUGGCUGUUCCUACAGACGUAAAAGACAACCCUGGAGGUAUUAAAGACUGCGUCACCGCCACCAUGACACAGCGGACACCCGCGUUCGAGAACAUGAGAUCACAACGUCCAUCUAGCAAAAAAAUUGAGAAUUUCUUAUCACUUUAUAAAUGCUUGGUUCCUCACUUCCAGUAGCUGCAAGAAUCUUAUAAACGAAAGACAUUUCCUUUGCGCAAAAUUAUGAAAUAUGCUGUGACUUGCAAACAGGAAUACUAUUAUUUCACAAAAUGCUGAGUCUCAUAAUAUUAACAGUUGCUACCUCUGGUACGCCACAUUCCCAAUGAUGCCAAAUGAAAAUUACACGGUCUUUACUGCCCGAACCUCAGGUUUGUGAAAAAUAUACCAGGUAAGCCAGUUCUGGAU